UGCUUUACACAUGCAAGUCGAGCGGCAGCGCGGGGGCAACCCUGGCGGCGAGCGGCGAACGGGUGAGGAAUACAUCGGAACGUGCCCGAGAGUGGGGGAUAACGCCGCGAAAGCGGCGCUAAUACCGCAUAUUCUCCGAGGAGGAAAGUGGGGGACCUGCAAGGGCCUCACGCUCACGGAGCGGCCGAUGUCGGAUUAGCUAGUUGGUGGGGUAAAGGCUUACCAAGGCGACGAUCCGUAGCUGGUCUGAGAGGAUGAUCAGCCACACUGGGACUGAGACACGGCCCAGACUCCUACGGGAGGCAGCAGUGGGGAAUUUUGGACAAUGGGGGCAACCCUGAUCCAGCCAUGCCGCGUGCGGGAAGAAGGCCUUCGGGUUGUAAACCGCUUUUAGUCGGGAAGAAAAGAUCAAGCCUAAUAAGCUUGGUUCUUGACGGUACCGGCGGAAUAAGCACCGGCUAACUACGUGCCAGCAGCCGCGGUAAUACGUAGGGUGCGAGCGUUAAUCGGAAUUACUGGGCGUAAAGCGUGCGCAGGCGGUUCGUUAAGUCAGAUGUGAAAGCCCCGGGCUCAACCUGGGAACUGCAUUUGAAACUGGCGGGCUUGAGUGUGGCAGAGGGGGGUGGAAUUCCGCGUGUAGCAGUGAAAUGCGUAGAGAUGCGGAGGAACACCGAUGGCGAAGGCAG
RNAcentral lists this ribosomal RNA (686 nucleotides) under uncultured earthworm cast bacterium. RNAcentral describes it as "bacterial SSU rRNA". It matches the Rfam family "Bacterial small subunit ribosomal RNA", at positions 45 to 724 of the family's 1533-position model. The record is from RNAcentral.